CAUUUUAGCUUUGCCAUCCGCGGACGGCUUGAGUGUUAACCAGCUCGGUGGACCGUUUGCCUUUCUGCGAGGGCAGCGGCUUCCUCUAGAAUAAAGAAUGAAGAAAAUUGAAAUGAUCUCUGAAACUCGAGAAUAGUUAUGUAAAAGAGAAAAAACAAAGUCUAUCGUUCAAAGGCUACUGAACCAGGAAACAGGCAGCCCGCGUUAAAAUCCCAGCUCUGGGAUCAACUGGUUAGAUUAUUUUCAUUCAGGCAUCUUUUCUUUCUGCACUACUUCAUCUACCAGUUGCUAACAUUGAAUGAACCUUUACAGUGUUCCAGGUACUGUUUUAAGAGAUUUUCUAUACUCAUAUAACAUUUUUGAAAGAAAAAGUGAAAUAUAGGCCUACAUGUUCAGCCUCAACGUGAACGUGAUGAGGAUGAAGACCUUUAUGAUAAUCCACUUUCACUUAGUGAAUCGGGAUUGGACUGCUGCAUUCUAAAAAUAAUGGUGAGAAGAAUGAAUAAAUUAGAGUUUACUAUGUAAUAAAACCUUCUAAAAAAGAGGAGAGGUAGCAGAAUUUACAAGAAGGUUAAACCUGACCUUACUGAAGAGAAUGAUACCCUCAUAGCAGCGCAUCUUCUUUGCUCACAGAAAGCUCCUUGGACAAAUGUGUUUUGAGUUUCAAGUGAGCAAACCUUCAAUGUGUCUGCCAUUUUGGGGAAGAAGUUGUAACUUGGAGUGAAGGUAGAGGGAUUUAUUAUGAGAGCUUUGCUAGCAGACAUCUCAUUCUUUAAGACAAAAUCAACGCACAAACAUAAUUGGUCAAAGGAAGAAAGCUACAAAACCAAUUCAAUAACAUCUGAAGCCUGAGAGGAAAAUGAAAGACAAGAGGCUGUGGCUGCAGCUGUGUCUGCUGACAACAGGAUAAAAAUGGUUGCAUUGAGAGUGAGCUGCAUUUUCACCAGGCAGAGCAAACUGGGAGCUAAUGUGUUUCUUGGAAAUCAAAAGAGGACUCCAAGAAUAGAAGCUUUUAAGAGGACUGGCUGGAGAGUCAAAGAAGAUCCAUUAGCUUCUGGACCACUGAAAACCUAAGGGCUGAUGGUGGGGCAGGGUAAGUGGCCGGCAGCAGGGAGACAUUUUCUGUAUCUAGGAUGGUAUAGAAAAGACCCCCACUGGACAGAUCUACAAAGAACAACUAAAGAGUCUCAUGGUAGAACAGGUCAGCUCUGGACAUCAUUCAAAUCCAGGGGAGCCUCUUAUACUGGAUUGCAAUUGUGUUGGGCAUGUACAAUGGUGUUCUUUUUCUCUAAUGGCUUCUUUCUUCUGGUCAGUCUCUGGAAGGGGUGAAAGAGUGAGAAAUAGUAGCCAGCAAGUGUAGAAAGAGAUGUGGAAGAGAGAACGGGGAAACAGAAAUUGCAUUUCUCCCACGUUCCAAAUGUAGGUUAUCCGGGUUAAAUGUAGGCCCCACCUGACUAGGCAAAGAUUUUUUCCUUUGUUGUGAGUUUGAAAAGAACUAAACAUCAUACUGAAGUGGAAUUAUUGAAAUUGGAUAGACCCAGGUUCAAAUGUUGACUCAGUUAUGUAACAUCUUGUGAAUUUUGACAGGUUCCUUAACUCCACUGAGUCUGUUUUUAUACCCAUGAAAUGGAUGUAGGAUUGUUAUGAACAUUAAUUGAAAAAUUAUAUAUAAAAUAAGUGUCCAGCAUAGUUCCUGGCACAUACUAGUGCUUGAAAACUACCAAUCAACUUCAUCAAUUUGUGUUAUGCCCUGCAUGGGCACAUAUUUGUCCUGAUACUCUUCAAAAUGUAGAAGUACCCACAGAAAAAUUGUCUCAGUUCAAGCACAGUAUUAUUAAUAUUCUACUGAGUACUAAGUAUGGUCGUUAAUAGUCUAAUAUGAGGAAGUCAAAACAGUCUCUGGAAAAAGUCUUUCUGCAAGCUUUUUGAAGCUUCAGGGAUUGCUACAAAGACUGGAAAAUCGAUCUUGAACUCAGCCUUUUAAUUUCUUUUCAUGAUUACUGUUCUCAAAUGGAGAAUGCAAUUAAAAUUAAUGCUGUCUUAGUUCACUUGCCUCAAAAUAAACAUUGAUCAAAUUCUAUGUGAAAAAAAAAAAAAAAAA
Molecule: long non-coding RNA, 2101 nt
Filed under: Homo sapiens (human)
Lineage: Eukaryota; Metazoa; Chordata; Mammalia; Primates; Hominidae
Description: long independently transcribed non-coding RNA 1788 (LINC01788)
Source: RNAcentral